CCGAAACCCGGUGAUCUAGCCAUGGGCAGGUUGAAGGUUGGGUAACACUAACUGGAGGACCGAACCGACUAAUGUUGAAAAAUUAGCGGAUGACCUGUGGCUGGGGGUGAAAGGCCAAUCAAACCGGGAGAUAGCUGGUUCUCCCCGAAAGCUAUUUAGGUAGCGCCUCGUGAAUUCAUCUCCGGGGGUAGAGCACUGUUUCGGCUAGGGGGCCAUCCCGGCUUACCAACCCGAUGCAAACUGCGAAUACCGGAGAAUGUUAUCACGGGAGACACACGGCGGGUGCUAACGUCCGUCGUGAAGAGGGAAACAACCCAGACCGCCAGCUAAGGUCCCAAAGUCAUGGUUAAGUGGGAAACGAUGUGGGAAGGCCCAGACAGCCAGGAUGUUGGCUUAGAAGCAGCCAUCAUUUAAAGAAAGCGUAAUAGCUCACUGGUCGAGUCGGCCUGCGCGGAAGAUGUAACGGGGCUAAACCAUGCACCGAAGCUGCGGCAGCGACACUGUGUGUUGUUGGGUAGGGGAGCGUUCUGUAAGCCUGUGAAGGUGUGUCGUGAGGCAUGCUGGAGGUAUCAGAAGUGCGAAUGCUGACAUAAGUAACGAUAAAGCGGGUGAAAAGCCCGCUCGCCGGAAGACCAAGGGUUCCUGUCCAACGUUAAUCGGGGCA
RNAcentral lists this ribosomal RNA (664 nucleotides) under Salmonella enterica subsp. enterica serovar Enteritidis. Its description in RNAcentral is "partial 23S ribosomal RNA". It matches the Rfam family "Bacterial large subunit ribosomal RNA", at positions 715 to 1376 of the family's 2925-position model. The record is from RNAcentral. Lineage: Bacteria; Pseudomonadati; Pseudomonadota; Gammaproteobacteria; Enterobacterales; Enterobacteriaceae.